This is a long non-coding RNA of Pogona vitticeps (central bearded dragon), 1590 nucleotides long. Lineage: Eukaryota; Metazoa; Chordata; Lepidosauria; Squamata; Agamidae. The record is from Ensembl.
CCAUUCCCAUUUGCUUUCACACCUUCAUUCUGUCCUUUUACACAGAAGCCAGGAGCUGGAAUUUCAAAAAGAAGAAAAGUGAUAUGCGGCUGAUUUUGUACAUCAAAAACAUAAGGAAGAAGCCAUGCAUUCUCAAGUUGGCUUCACCCUGCCAGCAGCUUUUACACAUCACUGAAGCAGCUUCCAGUUUACUCGGUUGGCAAAGUGGAAAGAAAAAAGGAAUCAAAGAAGCACAAAUAAAUAUUAAAGCGUGUAAGAAUUAAGCAUUACCUACUUAAAUGGCAAUUAUGUUGCUGAAAACAAGAACAUCACACCUGUACAAGAAAAGACAUAUAAACUCCAAACAUCUGUUUGGAUCCACCUGCCAGGCACCUGUUUUGCUGUUUCAAUGCCAUUUGAUUGCUGGAGAUGUAGAGGCUCUUGUGAGAUUUGAGAUAUACAUCAAUAAAUGUGGCAUGACAGAAAAGAGUAAGAAUCACCUGGGAGUGAAAGAAAGAAAGAAAGAAAGAAAGAAAGAAAGAAAGAAAGAAAGAAAGAAAGAAAGAAAGAAAGAAAGAAAGAAAGAAAGAAAGAAAGAAAGAAAAGGCUAAUUUGAAAUUGAAGAUUUGCUAGCUUCUCUGGUUAUGGAUGAGACAAUAGUGACUAAUGCAAAGAUCUCUCUGUUGUUUUUUUAAUCAUUGCACAAAUAUUCAUCCUUUUAGAUCACAGCCACAAUUUAGAGAUCCCACACCCCCCCCAAAAAAGAAGAAGUUGUUUAGUUACUUUUAAUAACUCUUUGGGGAGUGAAAAUGUGGACAGUGGGGCAUAUUAGCUUUUGUGAAUCCCAUGGGAAUGCUUGUGCGUUUAAAUCUUAUUUUUUCUCUCUCUCUGUGCUCAGCCUGCUACAGCUGAAGCAGACAGAAUGGAGUUCUGCAUGCUUUCACAAAUGCCCAUCUACCUCAUGUUCCCAUUCCGUUGGUGCCAGCACCAUUGAUAUUUAGUGCCAGCCAUGGCAAUUUUUGACAUAUGUCCACUUGGAUCAAAAUUUGAACCUUUAAUAGCACUUCAAACAGAGAUUCAUGUGCCUUCAAUGGUGCCCUACUACAUCUAGUAGAGAAUGUCACAGGAUCUGGCAUUUUCUUCUAGGCCCAGCAAGCUCACUAAAAAUCUUGGCACACACAAUAUGGCUUCCUUGAGUCACAGUUGCUGCCAGAAUGUUCUUCACACCUUUCUUAUCAGGUACUGCAACUCCCUGAAUGCACCAGAUUUGAAAACAGCGUCUGUCAGAAGAUGAGGCUGCCAGACUCCCUAAGAUGUUGUAAUGAAGAAGAAAUUGGGUGGGCAGAAUGGAGAACAUAUCUUUCUUCCUCUGGAAACCUUGAAUCAAACCAUCCUCAGCCCUACAAACAAUGGCCUUUAAAAACAGUAUGUUUAAAUGGGCCCCUUAAGGAAUACAUUUCAGUAAUUAAGACAGGCUUGGGCCACUGCAACAUACACAUGGCAGUCCUAAAGACACACCGCAAGGAGGUAAGCCCAGCCAAAGACAAAAGUACUUAUUUCUGAGUAGACAUGCACAUGAGUGCACUGUUAUUUAAUGUAUUGAUUAUUACU